Molecule: ribosomal RNA, 253 nt
Filed under: uncultured bacterium
Lineage: Bacteria
Description: partial 16S ribosomal RNA
Rfam family: Bacterial small subunit ribosomal RNA
Source: RNAcentral
UACAGAGGUCUCAAGCGUUGUUCGGAUUCAUUGGGCGUAAAGGGUGCGUAGGCGGCGCGGUAAGUCGGGUGUGAAAGCCCUGGGCUCAACCUAGGAAGUGCACUCGAAACUGCAAAGCUGGAGUCCUGGAGAGGAAGGCGGAAUUCUCGGUGUAGAGGUGAAAUGCGUAGAUAUCUGGAGGAAUACCGGUGGCGAAGGCGGCAUCCUGGACCGACAUUGACGCUGAGGAGCGAAAGCCAGGGGAGCAAACGGG